RNAcentral lists this ribosomal RNA (492 nucleotides) under uncultured bacterium. RNAcentral describes it as "partial 16S ribosomal RNA". It matches the Rfam family "Bacterial small subunit ribosomal RNA", at positions 29 to 523 of the family's 1533-position model. The record is from RNAcentral.
AACGAACGCUGGCGGCGUGUUUAAGACAUGCAAGUCGAGCGGAAAGGCCCUUCGGGGUACUCGAGCGGCGAACGGGUGAGUAACACGUGAGUAAUCUGCCCCAUGCUUCGGGAUAGCCAGCCGAAAGGCUGAUUAAUACCAGAUAUGACAUCUCCUGGCAUCGGGGGGUGGGGAAAGUUUUUUCGGCGUGGGAUGUGCUCGCGGCCUAUCAGCUUGUUGGUGGGGUAAUGGCCUACCAAGGCUUCGACGGGUAGCCGGCCUGAGAGGGUGACCGGCCACACUGGGACUGAGACACGGCCCAGACUCCUACGGGAGGCAGCAGUGGGGAAUAUUGGACAAUGGGCGGAAGCCUGAUCCAGCAACGCCGCGUGAGGGAUGACGGCCUUCGGGUUGUAAACCUCUUUCAGCACAGACGAAGUUUUGUCUUUUUGGGCAAAGUGACGGUAUGUGCAGAAGAAGGACCGGCCAACUACGUGCCAGCAGCCGCAGUAA